This 951-nucleotide ribosomal RNA is filed under the name Triticum aestivum (bread wheat). RNAcentral describes it as "partial small subunit ribosomal RNA". Lineage: Eukaryota; Viridiplantae; Streptophyta; Magnoliopsida; Poales; Poaceae. The record is from RNAcentral.
AUGAGGAAUUCCUCGGACCUUUCUGAGAACCAACUAUGGGAAAAUUCCGUCAAGCUUUGCAGAUUUGAAGACCAUGAGCGCUCUGAACCUCUCGAGCAAUGGUCUAUUAGGGAACAUACCUACAGGCAGAUGCACGCGCUGGAUGACCCGUCAAUAUACAGCAAUAAUCCUUGGCUUUGUGGAUCCCCGUUGGAAGAGUGUGUAAACUCGUCGACACCUAUGUGGAAUGAAGGCAUAUCUUCUUUUGCAGCGAGACAUUGUGGUGUGCAUUCUAUCAGUAUGUGCAAAACAUGUAAGCCAAGUAUCACUAUAAAAAGGCUUUUGCUAUCUCUUCUGUUCCUCGCAACUCAGAUCAAGCCACACAAACCAAGUCUUCCUCCUACAACACAGUGCAUCUUGCUGAAGAUGAAGACUGCACACACGCUGCUCCUGGCGGUCGCCUUCCUCGUGCUGGCAUCAGAGGUUGCAGUGAAGGCGGACGUCUGUACAGGGUCACUUCACAAGACGCCGCUACCGUGUGAUCAGGUAGGUUGCCUGCACAUCUGCCGCGAGCAUGUGAAUGGGGAAGGGCACGCGUGCCCUCAAUGCAAUUGGAGUGCUAGUUGCAACUAUGAUGGAUUAUGCGAGUGUGAUGUCUGCCUUCCUCCUCCUUCUGCUCCUAUCCAACACCAACAGAGUAGGCUCAUGGCGCAUACCACCGGUACACGCACUGUGCCAGGCUCAUCCACGCGUUCGGCGCUCUCCGACGGGGUUUGGGAACCACGACUAUUGGAAAAUCAAAAGUUGACGUGCAUCUCCACACGUUCGGCGCUCUCCGACAAUCGCACACUAUAUACCUCUCCGACAGUCUCAAAUGUUGCCACCACAUCUAGCGACCACACCUGGUGGUGGCCGCUCCUCUCCUGUGCUACUGCGUCAACUACUCAGCUGUGUACUUCACUGAGGAGGUGA